This 64-nucleotide transfer RNA is filed under the name Xyleborus sp. BMNH 1040067. RNAcentral's name for it is "tRNA-Asn". The record is from RNAcentral. Lineage: Eukaryota; Metazoa; Arthropoda; Insecta; Coleoptera; Curculionidae.
UUAAUUGAAACCAAAAUAGAGGUAUAUCACUGUUAAUGAUAAGAAUGGAAAUAUCCCAGUUAAA